UAAUUUUAGUUUCUUGUGUACAAUUUGGAAAUUAGUAUGGCGUCCAUUAUCACUGAACUAGUAUAUAUUUGUUAAGGGGCCAGCUGAAGGACGCCUCCGGGUGCGGGAAUUUCUCGCUACAUUGAAGACCUGUUAAUGACCUUCUGCUGUUGUUUUUUUCUAUGGUCGGGUUGUUGUCUCUUUGGCACAUUCCCCGUUUCCAUUCUCAAUUUUACAUA
RNAcentral lists this long non-coding RNA (218 nucleotides) under Mytilus galloprovincialis (Mediterranean mussel). The record is from RNAcentral. Lineage: Eukaryota; Metazoa; Mollusca; Bivalvia; Mytilida; Mytilidae.